RNAcentral lists this ribosomal RNA (450 nucleotides) under uncultured bacterium. RNAcentral describes it as "partial 16S ribosomal RNA". It matches the Rfam family "Bacterial small subunit ribosomal RNA", at positions 338 to 795 of the family's 1533-position model. The record is from RNAcentral.
CCUACGGGUGGCUGCAGUGGGGAAUAUUGGACAAUGGGCGCAAGCCUGAUCCAGCCACGCCGCGUGAGUGAUGAAGGCCUUCGGGUCGUAAAGCUCUGUGGGGAGGGACGAACCGCCACCGGUUAAUACCCGGUGGCAUGACGGUACCUCCUUAGCAAGCACCGGCUAACUUCGUGCCAGCAGCCGCGGUAAUACGAAGGCGGCAAACGUGGCCCGGAAUUAUUCGGAGGCGAGCUCGCAUAGCGGACGUGAACUCCCUCGGCUCAACCAAGGAAGUGCUUUCGAAACUGCUGAGCUUGAGUACUUAAGAGGAUCGCGGAAUUCCCGGUGUAGAGGUGAAAUUCGUAGAUAUCGGGAGGAACACCAGUGGCGAAGGCGGCGAUCUGGGAAGAUACUGACGCUGAGGUGCGAAAGCGUGGGGAGCAAACAGGAUUAGAUACCCUAGUAGUC